This 240-nucleotide ribosomal RNA is filed under the name Prymnesium parvum. RNAcentral's name for it is "partial Bacterial large subunit ribosomal RNA". It matches the Rfam family "Bacterial large subunit ribosomal RNA", at positions 505 to 744 of the family's 2925-position model. The record is from RNAcentral. Lineage: Eukaryota; Haptophyta; Prymnesiales; Prymnesiaceae.
GAGGGAAAGGUGAAAUAGAAUUUAUUAAUUUAAAUCUUAAAAAUACUGAAAUUUAAUGUUGACAAGCAAUUGAAGCUUUUAAAAAGUAACAAUGUACCUUUUGCAUAAUGGAUCAACGAGUUUAUUUUAGUGGCGAGCUUAAACAGUGAAUUAAUGUGUAGGCGAAAAGAAAUUAAGUUUUAAAAGGCUUUUAAGUCUCUAAAAUAAGACCCGAAACUAAAUGAUCUAACCAUGAUCAGG